This 330-nucleotide unclassified non-coding RNA is filed under the name Hevea brasiliensis (rubber tree). The record is from RNAcentral. Lineage: Eukaryota; Viridiplantae; Streptophyta; Magnoliopsida; Malpighiales; Euphorbiaceae.
UCGAGAUUAAUACUAUGAAGCAAGACAGGCAAUGGCAAUUACUUGGAAUUUGCUUCAAGUUGGAAUUAAACAAUGGAAUUUGAUUAAUACAUGCAGGGAAAGAUUUAUCCUGCCUAGGUAUGCUAAUAUUGCAGUACAUAUCUCAACUUAUUUUUGCAUAUAGAACACUCUCCUUGGUAUUCAAAAUAUACAAAAAUAAUCAAUGAAGAGGACGACCCAUUUGCUAGAAGGUAGAGAUAUUACACUUGAAGUGUUUUUCACUCAUAAUUCUAGCAGGAGAAGACUUUCCUUUUGCCCUCCUAUUAAUGACAGAACUGUGGCUGCAAUGUG